CAUGUCUUUUUGAUUUAAAUAUAAAGUCUAAUCUGCUCAAUGAUAAUUAAAUUGCCGCAGUAUUUUAACUGUGCAAAGGUAGCAUAAUAAUUAGCUUUUUAAUUAGAAGCUGGAAUGAAUGAUUGGACGAAAAUAUAACUGUCUCUUUCUAAAUUAUUAUUGAAUUUUAUUUUUAAGUUAAAAAGCUUAAAUUUUUAUAAAAGACGAGAAGACCCUAUAGAGUUUAAUAUUAAUAUGUUAUUAAUUUUUAGAAAUUUUUUUUAUUUUUUAAUAUUUAGUUGGGGUGACUUAUAGAUUUACUAAAUUCUAUAAAAUUUAAAUUGAUGAUAAUUAAUUUUAUAAUCUAAAAAUUUUAAAUUUAAAAUAAAUUACCUUAGGGAUAACAGCGUAAUUUUUCUUAAAAGUUCAUAUUGAAAGAAAAGUUUGCGACCUCGAUGUUGGAUUAAAAUAAAUUUUUGGUGCAGUAACUUAAAAAUUUGGUCUGUUCGACCUUUAAUAUUUUACAUGAUCUGAGUUUAAACCGGUGUAAGCCAGGUUGGAUUCUAUCUUUAGAUUUUUAAUAUAUUUUAGUACGAAAGGACCAAAUAUAUAUUAUAUUAAUUG
This 603-nucleotide ribosomal RNA is filed under the name Calopteron sp. UPOL A00629. RNAcentral describes it as "partial 16S ribosomal RNA". The stretch from base 379 to 537 matches the Rfam family "Bacterial large subunit ribosomal RNA", at positions 2473 to 2632 of the family's 2925-position model. The record is from RNAcentral. Lineage: Eukaryota; Metazoa; Arthropoda; Insecta; Coleoptera; Lycidae.